RNAcentral lists this ribosomal RNA (464 nucleotides) under uncultured bacterium. RNAcentral's name for it is "partial 16S ribosomal RNA". It matches the Rfam family "Bacterial small subunit ribosomal RNA", at positions 29 to 507 of the family's 1533-position model. The record is from RNAcentral.
ACGAACGCUGGCGGCGUGCUUAACACCUGCAAGUCGAACGGAAAGGCCCUGCUUGCAGGGUACUCGAGUGGCGAACGGGUGAGUAACACGUGGGUGAUCUGCCCUGCACUUCGGGAUAAGCCUGGGAAACUGGGUCUAAUACCGGAUAUGACCUUCCAUGUAGUGUGGGGGGUGGAAAGAUUUAUCGGUGUGGGAUGAGCCCGCGGCCUAUCAGCUUGUUGGUGGGGUAAUGGCCUACCAAGGCGUCGACGGGUAGCCGGCCUGAGAGGGUGGACGGCCACAUUGGGACUGAGAUACGGCCCAGACUCCUACGGGAGGCAGCAGUGGGGAAUAUUGCACAAUGGGCGGAAGCCUUAUGCAGCGACGCCGCGUGGGGGAUGACGGCCUUCGGGUUGUAAACCUCUUUCGACAGGGACGAAGCUUCGGUGACGGUACCUGUAGAAGAAGCACCGGCUAACUACGUG